CAGUAGCCGCGGGAAUACGAAGGGUGCAAGCGUUACUCGGAAUUACUGGGCGUAAAGCGUGCGUAGGUGGUGGUUUAAGUCCGUUGUGAAAGCCCUGGGCUCAACCUGGGAAUUGCAGUGGAUACUGGGUCACUAGAGUGUGGUAGAGGAUAGUGGAAUUUCCGGUGUAGCAGUGAAAUUCGUAGAGAUCGGAAGGAACAUCUGUGGCGAAGGCGACUAUCUGGGCCAACACUGACACUGAGGCACGAAAGCGUGGGGAGCAAACAGGAUUAGAUACCCCAGUAGUCCCUGUCUCUUAUAC
RNAcentral lists this ribosomal RNA (301 nucleotides) under uncultured bacterium. Its description in RNAcentral is "partial 16S ribosomal RNA". It matches the Rfam family "Bacterial small subunit ribosomal RNA", at positions 509 to 807 of the family's 1533-position model. The record is from RNAcentral.